Molecule: long non-coding RNA, 217 nt
Organism: Fukomys damarensis (Damara mole-rat)
Lineage: Eukaryota; Metazoa; Chordata; Mammalia; Rodentia; Bathyergidae
Exons: 2
Source: RefSeq, a predicted model, not a curated record
UCAGGUCCUUGCACUUGCAAGGCAGGCAGCAGAACCACUGAGCUAAAUCCCUGGCCUGGCCCAGAGUAAAGUUUUUAAUCACACAUCUUUUCUUCUUUCAGCAUGCGUUUCACUUUCACUGCAUCUCUCGCUGGCUGAAAACACGACAGGUGUGUCCACUGGACAACAGAGAGUGGGAAUUCCAAAAGUAUGGGCACUAGAAGGAUUCUUCUACCCA